ACAUUUCCCUGGAGUGGCUGGAAAAGAGAAGUCUCUUCAAAUUCUGCAACUGCUAACAGCGAGGAAGGGUUUUGAAAGGUAAAGGCCAUUAGCUUGGAGGCAGAAGACAGACCUCCCUGACUGCUGAAUUCUUCCCGGCCUGAAAUUGGAGCAUUCCAAGCUCCUCAGAUGAGUCAUAAGCCGCCAAGAUUGUGAGCCUCUGGGUGCUAGCCAGGAUCACUCCCUCCGAAGUCACCCCAGAGGGAGGGCCGGAGGGAGAAUGAAAUGAAAGAGAGAGGGAGAGAAAGGAAGGAAGAGAAGGAGGGAGAAUGGAAGGAUGCAUGGAUUUGGAUGUAUGGGUUCCAUUCCUUCUAUCCUGGCAAAUGCUUACUCAUCCUUCAGUGUCCAUCCAAAAUGGCACCUCUUCUUGGGCACCAUCUCCAGAGUCUCCUUCAAGCAGGUAGCUACAUCCCACAAAACAACCACCCAUCUGAUCAUGCAAGUGUGUGGGGGAAUGAAAACCAGCCCAGGAAUCUGAGAUGAAUGUUUUGCUUCUUGCUCUGCCACUGACUCACAGGGUACCCCAAGCAAGUCCCUUCACCUCCUUGGUCUCAGUUUCUCCAUUUAUACUACUAAGGCAGUGGACCUGAUGGCCUCAAGUCUCGACAUUUUUAUUCCCUGAAGAAACUCUUUGUGCUGAGUGGUCUUCUUCUGCCCUGACAUCUCGCCUUUCAAACGCUUGUCUCUUCUCACCCCACCCACCACUUAGCAUGUGCUCUUGGAGAACACCCAGGACUCAGGGUCUCUGCACACAUCAUGAGUCCAGCUCAGCAUCUGAGGUGGAAUCAGAGGAAAGGAAGGCGAGUGGGGGGAAUAGUCAGUAUUUUGGCAAGCUCAUCAUACCUUCCCCCUUUGUCUAGAAACUUCAAUCCAAUUUCCCUUUGAAGGCACUACCUCCUUCCCCCAGUCAUAAAUGAGUGCAGGUCUCAAGCCUGGACAACCAAAUGCACAGUGAUUGGUUCAACUCUGGACCUGUGACUCAAGCCAGACCAAGGGAGUGACAUGCAGGGCUUUGCCUGGAACUAUUCUGAAAGGGGCACUCUCUUUCUGCUGGGCUACUGAUAGUAUGUGCAUCCAUGAUAGGAGAGCCUGCCUGAUAAUGAAGCCAGUAAGAGAAGAGCAGAGCCAAGAGAUGGUGGGAGAGCAGAUGCCUGAAAAUAUCAUUUGAGCCCCUGGGUCCAGCUGCACCUGAAGCCACCACUAUCUCCUGAACUUCGCAGUUUCUUGAGUUGAUAAAUACCCUUUGGCAUUAAGCCAGAUUGAGUCUUAAUGCAUAUAGAAAUAAGAGAAAUGAAAAAAGAAAUGAGAAAAGAUAUUGAAAAGAGAGACGGCAGAGAACUGAUUCUCUACUAGAGCCUCCAGAAGGAAUCAACUUUGCCAACACCUUGAUUUUGGACUUGUGGCCUUCAGAACUGUGAAAUGAUAAACAUCUGUUAUUUUAAGGUACCUAGUGUGUAACAUUUUGUCAUGACAGCCCUAGGAAAUGAAUACAGCGAGGAAAAUCCCACCAGCACAAAGGCAUGGAGGUGCCAGGAUGCCUCCUCUGCCUGAAGAGUAGAUGUAGAUGAGGCUGGAAUUGUCCAUCCUAGCUGCCCAGACCCACGUGCCUUUGUUUUAUGUAGUUACAGCACCUAUGAUACAUAUUUGCUACCAUGUAUGUCACUAUGAACCUCCUCUGGAGGACAGAGAAGUCACAUGCCUUAAUUAUUCCAACACAAGCUUGCGUGAACAGAUAAUCAUCACUGCGAGUAUAUUGUGUGCCUGCUAAGCACCACGCCUGAGAUAAGCAUUUGCUAUGGUUUGAAUGUCCCCUCCAAAGCUCAUGCUAAAAUUUAAUUGCCAUUGCAACAGUGUUGCAAGGUGAGAAGUUUAAGAGAUGAUCAGGUCAUGAGAACUCUGCCCUCAUGAAUGGAUUAAUACCAUUAUUGCAGUAGUGGACCCCCCUUUUCUCUUGCUGUCUCUCAUGUUAGCUUGUGCUUCCACCUUUCACCAUGGGAUAACACAGCAAGAAGCCUCUCACCAGAUGCUGGCACCUUGCUGUUGGACUUCCCGGCCUCCAGAACUGUGAGAAAUACGUGUCUUUUCCUUAUAAAUUACCCAGUCUGUGGUAUUCUGUUAUAGUGGCAGAAAAUGGACUAAGACAGCAUUUUGAAUACAUUAUCUGUCUUAUUAAAAAUAAUGUUUUUACCCAGGAACAUAGAUUCAAGUUGCCCUGAAUAUAGAUUAUCUCCCUACAUUAUCUCUUUUAAUCCUCACCUAUUAGGUAGAUACCGCUGUUAUCCCCAGUUUGCAGGUAAAACCUCAAGCUCCCAAAGAACUGCAGCAUGGAGGAAAGUAAAGCCAAUAGCUACCAUGUUGAGUAGUCCCCUUUACCCAUGGUACAGUACAGCACGCUAAGAUAUUCUGAGAAAGAGAGAGGCCGCAUUCACGUCUUUUAUUGCAGUAUAUUGUUACAGUUGUUCUAUUUUAUUCGUUAUUGUUGUUAGUCUCUUUUUAUGCCUAAUUUAUAAAUCGAGCUUUACUACAGACAUGUGUGUAUAGGAAAAAACAAUACGGAUGUUCCUCAA
Long non-coding RNA from Symphalangus syndactylus (siamang), 2606 nucleotides. RefSeq lists it as uncharacterized. NCBI's taxonomy places the organism in Eukaryota, Metazoa, Chordata, Mammalia, Primates, Hylobatidae. The record is from RefSeq and is a predicted model, not a curated record.